CCUACGGGAGGCUGCAGUGGGGAAUAUUGGGCAAUGGGCGCAAGCCUGACCCAGCAACGCCGCGUGAAGGAAUAAGGCUUUCGGGUUGUAAACUUCUUUUCUCAGGGACGAAGCAAGUGACGGUACCUGAGUAAUAAGCCACGGCUAACGACGUGCCAGCCUCCGCGGUAAUCCGUAGGUGGCAAGCUUUAUCCGGAUUUACUGUGUGUAAAGGGCGUGUAGGAGGGACGGCAAGUCAAAUGUGAAAACCCCGGGCUCAACCUGUGGACUGCAUUUGAAACUGGAGUUCUUGAGUACUGGAGAGGAUGACGGAAUUCCUAGUGUAGGGGUGAAAUGCGUAGAUAUUAGGAGGAACACCAGUGGCGAAGGCGGUUAGCUGG
RNAcentral lists this ribosomal RNA (380 nucleotides) under uncultured bacterium. RNAcentral describes it as "partial 16S ribosomal RNA". It matches the Rfam family "Bacterial small subunit ribosomal RNA", at positions 338 to 732 of the family's 1533-position model. The record is from RNAcentral.